This 67-nucleotide ribosomal RNA is filed under the name Anthopleura nigrescens. Its description in RNAcentral is "partial 28S ribosomal RNA". The record is from RNAcentral. Lineage: Eukaryota; Metazoa; Cnidaria; Anthozoa; Actiniaria; Actiniidae.
GGGGGCGCAUCAUCGACCGACCUAUUCUACUCUUAGGAAGGUUUGAGUAAGAGCGCACCUGUUGGGA